This 698-nucleotide ribosomal RNA is filed under the name Microbacterium luteolum. RNAcentral's name for it is "bacterial SSU rRNA". It matches the Rfam family "Bacterial small subunit ribosomal RNA", at positions 20 to 728 of the family's 1533-position model. The record is from RNAcentral. Lineage: Bacteria; Bacillati; Actinomycetota; Actinomycetes; Micrococcales; Microbacteriaceae.
UGGCUCAGGAUGAACGCUGGCGGCGUGCUUAACACAUGCAAGUCGAACGGUGAACACGGAGCUUGCUCUGUGGGAUCAGUGGCGAACGGGUGAGUAACACGUGAGCAACCUGCCCCUGACUCUGGGAUAAGCGCUGGAAACGGCGUCUAAUACUGGAUAUGUGACGUGACCGCAUGGUCUGCGUUUGGAAAGAUUUUUCGGUUGGGGAUGGGCUCGCGGCCUAUCAGCUUGUUGGUGAGGUAAUGGCUCACCAAGGCGUCGACGGGUAGCCGGCCUGAGAGGGUGACCGGCCACACUGGGACUGAGACACGGCCCAGACUCCUACGGGAGGCAGCAGUGGGGAAUAUUGCACAAUGGGCGCAAGCCUGAUGCAGCAACGCCGCGUGAGGGAUGACGGCCUUCGGGUUGUAAACCUCUUUUAGCAGGGAAGAAGCGAAAGUGACGGUACCUGCAGAAAAAGCGCCGGCUAACUACGUGCCAGCAGCCGCGGUAAUACGUAGGGCGCAAGCGUUAUCCGGAAUUAUUGGGCGUAAAGAGCUCGUAGGCGGUUUGUCGCGUCUGCUGUGAAAUCCGGAGGCUCAACCUCCGGCCUGCAGUGGGUACGGGCAGACUAGAGUGCGGUAGGGGAGAUUGGAAUUCCUGGUGUAGCGGUGGAAUGCGCAGAUAUCAGGAGGAACACCGAUGGCGAAGGCAGAUCU